This 313-nucleotide ribosomal RNA is filed under the name uncultured bacterium. RNAcentral's name for it is "bacterial SSU rRNA". It matches the Rfam family "Bacterial small subunit ribosomal RNA", at positions 28 to 334 of the family's 1533-position model. The record is from RNAcentral.
GACAAACGCUGGCGGCGUGCCUAACACAUGCAAGUCGAACGGGCGAAGAGGGGAGCUUGCUUUCCUCAGAGCUAGUGGCGGACGGGUGAGUAACGCGUGAGUAACCUGCCUUGGAGAGGGGAAUAACACAAAGAAAUUUGUGCUAAUACCGCAUAUGGUGGCAGUACCGCAUGGUACAACCAUGAAAGAUUUAUCGCUCCAAGAUGGACUCGCGUCCGAUUAGCCAGUUGGCGGGGUAACGGCCCACCAAAGCAACGAUCGGUAGCCGGACUGAGAGGUUGAACGGCCACAUUGGGACUGAGACACGGCCCAG